UAGGUACGCUUCUCUAUAUUUAUAUAUACA
RNAcentral lists this non-coding RNA (30 nucleotides) under Mus musculus (house mouse). The record is from RNAcentral. Lineage: Eukaryota; Metazoa; Chordata; Mammalia; Rodentia; Muridae.